Molecule: transfer RNA, 65 nt
Filed under: Platystomos albinus
Lineage: Eukaryota; Metazoa; Arthropoda; Insecta; Coleoptera; Anthribidae
Description: tRNA-Ala
Source: RNAcentral
AGGAUAAUAGUUAAUUAUAAUAUUUAAUUUGCAAUUAAAAGGUAUUGAUCAGUCAAUUUAUCUUA